AGGGUUUGAUCCUGGCUCAGAAUGAACGUUGGCGGCGUGGAUUAGGCAUGCAAGUCGAACGAGAACGGUUCCUUCGGGAACCAAGUAAAGUGGCGGACGGGUGAGUAAUACAUAGACAACUUACCCCCGAGACGGGGACAACCACUCGAAAGGGUGGCUAAUACCCGAUACUGCCUGGAGUCGGUGGAUUCCAGGUGAAAGAAGGCCUCUGUUUCAAGCUUUCACUCGAGGAGGGGUUUAUGUCCUAUUAGCUAGUUGGUGAGGUAACGGCUCACCAAGGCGACGAUGGGUAGCCGGCCUGAGAGGGUGACCGGUCACACUGGGACUGAGACACUGCCCAGACUCCUACGGGAGGCUGCAGUCGAGAAUCUUCCGCAAUGCGCGCAAGCGUGACGGAGCGACGCCGCGUGGGUGAUGAAGGCCUUCGGGUUGUAAAACCCUGUUACCUACUAUGAACAAUUGGUGGUGAAUAACCAGCCAAGCUGACGUAAGUAGGAGAGGAAGCACCGGCUAAAUACGUGCCAGCAGCCGCGGUAAUACGUAUGGUGCGAACGUUAUUCGGAAUUACUGGGCAUAAAGGGCGCGUAGGCGGUUUGGUAAGUCUGUAUGUGAAAUCCCUCGGCUUAACCGAGGAACUGCAUCGGAUACUGCCAGACUAGAGUGCAGGAGGGGAGAGCGGAAUUCCUGGUGGAGCGGUGAAAUGCGUAGAUAUCAGGAGGAACGCCAGUGGCGAAAGCGGCUCUCUGGCCUGCAACUGACGCUGAGGCGCGAAAGCUAGGGGAGCGAACGGGAUUAGAUACCCCGGUAGUCCUAGCCCUAAACGAUGGGCACUAGGUAGAGGAGGUUUUAGAGCUUUCUCUGCUGUAGCUAAUGUAUUAAGUGCCCCGCCUGGGGAGUAUGGUCGCAAGGCUAAAACUCAA
Molecule: ribosomal RNA, 920 nt
Filed under: marine metagenome
Description: bacterial SSU rRNA
Rfam family: Bacterial small subunit ribosomal RNA
Source: RNAcentral